UUUGGUGAUGCUGCAUUGAGGGGGUAAAUGGUCACAUUGGUCCCUGGAUGUUCGCACCGACUUCAGAAUCGUCCCUGGAUGAAUUUUAUUAGGCUCGCGGUCCCCAGAUAUGGCAAAAAAUAGUCAUAUUAGUCCCUGACGUUAAAAUUCUCUAACGUCCGUUAACCCAAUUAAUAAAAGUCAACAUUAUCUUUCUAAUUUUCUUUCACUUUGGUCCCUUUCUUCUUUCUUCCACCCUCUUCACCCCUCCUUCCAUCAUUUUCACCAAAACCCGCCCCACCCCCCAUCAUGCUCACUUCCUUCAUCUUCAUCUUGUUCAUCUUCACUUUAUUCAUCUUCCCCAAAAACCCAGAACUCCACCUCAUCCGACCACCACUCCAGCCACCUCCCACAUUUAAACGACCAACCUCCACCACGUAAACCACCUGAUUCAAGUUCUCCGGUCACCACCCCCCUCACUCCAGACCUCGGUGAAGAUAAAUCUCAGAUCUGUGUCCAAAUCCCUAAACCCGGAUUUGGGUACUACUCUUUGGGGAAUGAGAGAAAGGAUAAACCAGAUCUGGGUCGGAGGUUUGAAUGAGGAAGGAGGCUGGUUGGUUCGGUUACGGAAGGUGAUUUGCCGGAUAGAACACCAUCAGGAACAGUCCAGGUUUUGACCCCAAGCAAUCAUGCUAACACACCUCAAUUUUCUGAGCCAAUGAAAUUUGAUACCAUGAACAUUGAUGCUGUGAUCAGAACAGAUGAUGCUGAACUCGGAGAAGCAGAUCAAGACGAGCCAAAAUCUGGAGAUCCAUUGGAUUACUUUCUCCCUCCACCACCCAAAGCUAGAUGCUCCGAGGAGCUGCAAGUUAGUUGUGUUAAAAGUUAAAAUUGUUUGGUAACUCAGUCAUUGAGUACCAUUUUGUUGCAAUGUAAAGUGGCAUGUCAUUACUUAUUUAAGCUGGUUCGUUUUGGUCUUUUUCUUUGGUAUUGUGUAAAUAUUUAGUUGUGUUUUCUCUUUCUUGAAUCUGAGCAAGAGCAUUUUUUGGUAUUGAUAUAAUAUUCCAUAUUUGUAUUGUCUUUGAAUUUGAUCAAAUGAGUUUUGGCAAUUAAAAGUUUCUGUUGAA
Lotus japonicus is the source of this 1106-nucleotide long non-coding RNA. RefSeq lists it as uncharacterized. Lineage: Eukaryota; Viridiplantae; Streptophyta; Magnoliopsida; Fabales; Fabaceae. The transcript is spliced from 2 exons. The record is from RefSeq and is a predicted model, not a curated record.